GCUUCCGUCCUCCUGGUCACGAUUCGGGCCGGCGCCGGGGACCAGCUCCCGAAGGUGGCCUCGUUGCCUUGGUCCCCGAGCGUC
This 84-nucleotide small RNA is filed under the name Chinchilla lanigera (long-tailed chinchilla). RNAcentral describes it as "sRNA (ENSCLAG00000019954.1)". The record is from RNAcentral. Lineage: Eukaryota; Metazoa; Chordata; Mammalia; Rodentia; Chinchillidae.